RNAcentral lists this ribosomal RNA (1794 nucleotides) under seawater metagenome. RNAcentral describes it as "bacterial LSU rRNA". It matches the Rfam family "Bacterial large subunit ribosomal RNA", at positions 637 to 2421 of the family's 2925-position model. The record is from RNAcentral.
GUAGCGAGGUUAACCGUUUAGGGGAGCCGUAGGGAAACCGAGUCUUAAUAGGGCGAAUUAGUCGCUAGGAGUAGACCCGAAACCGGGCGAUCUAUCCAUGGCCAGGGUGAAGGUGGGGUAAUACCUACUGGAGGCCCGAACCCACUUAUGUUGAAAAAUGAGGGGAUGAGCUGUGGAUCGGAGUGAAAGGCUAAACAAGCCCGGAGAUAGCUGGUUCUCCUCGAAAUCUAUUUAGGUAGAGCCUCGCAUAUCACUGUUGGGGGUAGAGCACUGUUACGGCUAGGGCCUCAUCCCGAGGUACCAACCCGUUGCAAACUCCGAAUACCAACAAGUGCAAUUGCGGGAGACACACUGCGGGUGAUAAGGUCCGUAGUGGAGAGGGAAACAGCCCAGACCGUCAGCUAAGGUCCCAAAAUGAUACUCAGUGGAAAACGAUGUGAAAAGGCACAGACAGCCAGGAGGUUGGCUUAGAAGCAGCCAUCCUUUAAAGAAAGCGUAAUAGCUCACUGGUCAAGUCGGUUUGCGCGGAAGAUUUAUCGGGGCUUAAGUAUCAUACCGAAGCUACGGAUGCGUGUUUACACGCAUGGUAGAGGAGCGUUCUGUACGCCUGUGAAGGUGAGUUGAGAAGCUUGCUGGAGGUAUCAGAAGUGCGAAUGCUGACAUGAGUAACGAUAAUGGGAGUGAAAAACUCCCACGCCGGAAACCCAAGGGUUCCUGUCCAACGUUAAUCGGGGCAGGGUUAGUCGGCCCCUAAGGCGAGGCUGAAAAGCGUAGUCGAUGGGAAGCAAGUUAAUAUUCUUGCACCUCUUUAUAAUGCGAUGGGGGGACGGAGAAGGCUAGGCCAGCACAGCGUUGGUUGUCUGUGUUUAAGGUGGUAGGCAGAGGACUUAGGCAAAUCCGGGUCCUUAAUGCCGAGAACUGAUGACGGUGACUCUACGGAGUCCGAAGUGGUCGAUGCCAUGCUUCCAGGAAAAGCCUCUAAGCUUCAGUUAUAAAGAGACCGUACCCCAAACCGACACAGGUGGGUAGGUAGAGAAUACCAAGGCGCUUGAGAGAACUCGGGUGAAGGAACUAGGCAAAAUGGCACCGUAACUUCGGGAGAAGGUGCGCCGGUUAGGGUGAAGGACUUGCUCCGUAAGCUCUGGCCGGUCGAAGAUACCAGGUGGCUGCGACUGUUUAUUAAAAACACAGCACUCUGCAAACACGAAAGUGGACGUAUAGGGUGUGACGCCUGCCCGGUGCCGGAAGGUUAAUUGAUGGGGUUAUCUUCGGAGAAGCUCUUGAUCGAAGCCCCGGUAAACGGCGGCCGUAACUAUAACGGUCCUAAGGUAGCGAAAUUCCUUGUCGGGUAAGUUCCGACCUGCACGAAUGGCGUAACGAUGGCCACACUGUCUCCACCCGAGACUCAGUGAAAUUGAAAUUGCGGUUAAGAUGCCGUAUACCCGCGGCUAGACGGAAAGACCCCGUGAACCUUUACUAUAGCUUCACAGUGAACUUUGAGCAUGUUUGUGUAGGAUAGCUGGGAGGCUUUGAAACCAGGACGCCAGUUCUGGUGGAGCCAACCUUGAAAUACCAGCCUGACCUGUUUGAGGUUCUAACUUCGACCCCUUAUCGGGGUUAAGGACACUGUGUGGUGGGUAGUUUGACUGGGGCGGUCUCCUCCCAAAGCGUAACGGAGGAGCACAAAGGUGGGCUAAGCAUGGUCGGACAUCAUGCGGUUAGUGUAAUGGCACAAGCCCGCUUAACUGCGAGACAGACACGUCGAGCAGGUACGAAAGUAGGUCAUAGUGAUCC